RNAcentral lists this ribosomal RNA (253 nucleotides) under uncultured bacterium. RNAcentral's name for it is "partial 16S ribosomal RNA". It matches the Rfam family "Bacterial small subunit ribosomal RNA", at positions 524 to 776 of the family's 1533-position model. The record is from RNAcentral.
UACGAAGGGGGCUAGCGUUGCUCGGAAUUACUGGGCGUAAAGGGCGCGUAGGCGGCUGUUUAAGUCAGAGGUGAAAGCCCAGGGCUCAACCUUGGAACUGCCUUUGAUACUGGGCAUCUUGAGUAUGGGAGAGGUGAGUGGAACUCCGAGUGUAGAGGUGAAAUUCGUAGAUAUUCGGAAGAACACCAGUGGCGAAGGCGACUCACUGGCCCAUUACUGACGCUGAGGCGCGAAAGCGUGGGGAGCAAACAGG